Elaeis guineensis (African oil palm) is the source of this 3817-nucleotide long non-coding RNA. RefSeq lists it as uncharacterized. NCBI's taxonomy places the organism in Eukaryota, Viridiplantae, Streptophyta, Magnoliopsida, Arecales, Arecaceae. The record is from RefSeq and is a predicted model, not a curated record.
GUGAGAUGAAAAAGCGAGGGCCACGAUCCUUCCUGCAAAACGGAAAGCGUCCUCCGUGCCCUUUGCUGCCUCUCAAAACCCUCGACCCGCCGCCUAUUCGCUUCAAUUGCCUCUUCGCUGUACCUACUACCGUUCGCCUAUCUUGAUCGGUGGUGGAUGAUCGCGAAGAAUCAAAGUCUCCAAAGGAUCUUACGCUGUUUUCUCCUUUCUUUCUCGGCUUUACAACAAGAAAGGUCCUAUGAUCCUGUUGACUAUGAAUGCAUAGAUAUAGUAGAGUUUUGGGUGGUUGAGGAAGAUCCAGAACCGGAGCUUGAUGAUAAGGAGUUAGGAGAGAUGCUUAACAAAUGAGGAAAUGGAAAAGGAGCAAGUUCCAAUACCUCUAGAGUUUCUCAACUGCCUGUGUACAGCUUCUACACCACCUACAUAGAGCAGCUGCCCUUUAAAACCAUUGUGACAGCAUAUGUAGCAGAAAGUUGAUGCGGCAGGUGUUGUUCCUCCUAUAUGCCAUUAUCAUCUUUGCAGCGGGAAGUCAACAGUGCCAGUCUUGGAUUGGCUCUUUUGGUUGGUAGCUUUAGUGCUGUCAUGCUAUGCAUGGUGAGGAGCUAAUUCUAUUGGUAUUUUCUUCCUUUUUGCUGAUCGGUGGUUGUGACUAACUAUUUGGGGAGCCUUCGGAGCAUAGGCCAGGUUUCUCUUCCUUUAUAAUGGUGUUUCUUUACAAUUUUUACCAUCUAGUGUGCUUCUUUGGAUUUCCCUUCCUUUUUUUCACUUUCUCGUUUAGUUUGUUAUUUAUCUCCUUUAGUUUGGUCUUUAUCUUUGGGUCAAUGCCUGCAUGUUUUUUCAAGAUUUCAUGUUUUUCAGUGCCUUAUUUUUUGUCUAUUGUUAUAUUUCUUUUUUGCUGUGGGGGAACAGGUGAGAGUAUCUAUUUUGUUCCUCUUUCUUCUUUAUAUAGCUAGGCAUUGUUGUUGGUUAGUGGAAAUCUAUAACUGAUGAACCUCUCCCUCCUAUGUAAAUGGAGAUGGCAUCUUCUUUCAAACAAUUCAGUGCUUUGGCUAUCUAUCAUACCGAAUCAUAUUGCAGUCAAUAUACAUAUUUCACUUUAAUAACAUUAUCUAAUCCACAGCAUCCCCCUUUCUUGAAAGCAGUGCUAAACUAUAGCUAUAGCUUUCUUUGUAGCAUCACACUGCCAGGACUGGAGACAGAAUUAGAUUCUGGCAAUAUCCCUGGCUAGGCCCACAAAUCCUUCAAAAUCUUUUCCCUAUCACUUCUUCAUUAGUCCAAGGCAUAACCUUCCAUGUUUUCAUUUUUGUACAACUCAAACCCUCAACACCAACCAUCCAAGCAGGACGUCAACACCUUACUCUCCCCAAUGAAUGGGAUACAAUGGCAAUCAUCAUCAUUUGGUGUCUCCAGAAGGAACAGAACUGCCGCUUAUUCAAUAAUCAGCGGUCUACAGCACUCCUUAAUCAACUUCUUUAGCACUUUAUACAAAGACUGGGCCAGCUGCACUCCAGUUAAACACAAUGAACUUUUUCAACACUCCUGCACACCAAUCCAAAUCUAUCCUUAUAUUUUUCUGUUUUUUUUCUUCUUAUUUUUACUUUGCUUUGUCAAGUUUUAACUCUUUCACUGACAUUUUCUACUUUGAUUUUAUUUUCUUAAUGAAAUUUGGAUGGGUAUAAUGCCCUCCCUUUUACCUCAAAGAAGAAGUGCAGAAAUAUUCAUAAAAGUUUCCUUCCACAGAGAAUAUGUUGCCCCAUUAAAACAAUUUUGGUUGCUGCUACGAAUAGAGCAGACAUUAUUUCUGUCACAUGCAAAAAUCUAGUUGGGCCUCUCUUUUCUUCUCAAUCUUUAUACUUCGCUUUUGAUUGCUGCUUCUUUCUUCUUGCUUACUCUUUGCAAGAUUUAUUUUACUUGAUGCAAUGAUUAGAAGCAAAUUCAGGAAAAGAAAUUGGACCGCCUCACUGUAUACAAAGUUUUUGUUUCAUGAACUUCCACAGCUAUAGUUUUGUUUUAAUGCUUAUUGCAGCAAUUUCCCUCUCCCACCCUUUUUCUUCUCUCUUCUUUUUUGGUCUUUUCUUGAUCUGCAAAUGUGGUUAAAUAGUUUUCAUGAGAAGUGGCGUUUCCGCUGAAAAUUUUUGUUUGUGCUGCCUUUAUGUUGAGUUUCUUUUUGUCAGAUCUACAAAUCUAUAACUACAAUUUUGUAUAUGCAUUUCCAAACUAUACAAGAAGAAUGUAGGAUAACAAUUAUGCUAUAGUUUAGAAAGAUUUUGGUGGAGAUGCCCUGCCUCAUGAAAAAGAAGACGAACUUAAUCACACGCUGCAAAAUUUUAGCAAACUGAAUUGCCUUUUUAAAUUUUGUUGAACAAAAGGAAAAGGAAAUGGAAAUGUUUAUAUCAGUCAGCGGAAAAUAAUUCCAUGGAUGUAAGCACAGCAAUAAGAAAUUCUUAUGAGUUUCAUUCAUAUUUGCUUCUGUAUUACUUCUUUCUUGAAGAUCUAAUUAUACUUAUGAGACCUUUUCAUACUAUAUAUAGCAGAUUCCUACAAAAAAAUGUAUCAGAUGGUAUCUACUUUCUUAUGUUUCUUUUCACCUUUCUUGAGAAUAAAACAUUAUGCUGACAUUGUUCAGCAUUGCAAACAAGUUAUUGCCGCAAUGCAUGCAUACAUAACCUUUCCUACACACGCCGUUUUAUAAUUGCUUAUUUUUAUUUUCCCUUACUGAAGUGUUUUCCCAUUGUUUUAAUGAUUUCUAUAUUCAUUUAAUUAUUUGAUUUCUUGUCCGUAGUGCUUCUCUCUCACAUCCUUCUCGGAAUUUAAGCGGAGUUCAUAGAUACCAGAAAAUCCUCUCUUUGUUGGCUUGUUUUAUUUGAGCAAAUAUCUGUUGGAAUGAGAACAAAAUUUAGCUCCCUGUGAAUCGACUACAUUCAAUAGCUAUUCCUGUUUUCUUCCUACUGUUGCUACCAUAUUAACAUAAAUAUUUUUGUAUAAACUACUUCCAACGCUCCUGCUUUCAAUUCCUUGCAACACUCUGGCUGAAUCGAGAUCUUUUAUAAGAUCCACUGUGCCUGAAGCAGAAACUAAAAAGCAGUAUGGAGAGGGCUGAAAGCAACAGUAUUAAUACUUAUAGUGGAAGAUAAGGCUAGAUGGGAGUCCCAUACUGUCCUAAGCUGGAUAAAUAGAAUUCACCGCAGGUGUGAAUCCAGCCCAUCCCCCACUCUUGGAUGAUCAAGCAAUUUUUUUUGUCUUUUCUCUGUGAGCCAUGCCUCCAGAGGAGCUAAUCAAUGCCUCCAGAGGAGCAAAUCAAGCCAAGCUUGCCAGGGAUUUAAUCGAGAUAAUCCCUCCAUGAUGACAAUGCCAUUCAUCCUCUUGUUUGUGCCGAUAUGUAUGGAGUUAUGUUUCUAAGAAUGUAGACUGUGGGUAGAUCCUGCCCUGUAUAACCCAAAAAAAUAUAUAUAUAUUAUUAGGACAUGGUGAAGGGUCAUGGCCACGUGGUGGAUUCUGCUGAAGUUAGUUGUUCUUAUAAAAUUCUAUCUCCAUUAUAUCUAUUAUUUUUGUCUGCAAAGAGUAAGACCAAUAUCAUUAUGGGGGCAUUUGGUGAUCCAAUUGGGAUCACUAUGGUAAUUUAAGAUUAUUGAUGCUCCAAAUUUUAGGAUGAUCUGAUUCUUAGUGAUCUAAGAUUAUUAUGUUUGGUUGGCUAUAGUGCAGUGAUUAAAGAUCUUUAGAUAUAUAUAAAUAAUUAUAUUUGAUAUAUUACGGAAAGUCAAGAUUACUGAUCAUAUAAUAUCAAAAAUAUCUCUAAAUAUCUCAGACAUUAUUUUGG